Molecule: small nuclear RNA, 164 nt
Filed under: Camelus dromedarius (Arabian camel)
Lineage: Eukaryota; Metazoa; Chordata; Mammalia; Artiodactyla; Camelidae
Description: U1 spliceosomal RNA (ENSCDRG00005015752.1)
Rfam family: U1 spliceosomal RNA
About the family: U1 is a small nuclear RNA (snRNA) component of the spliceosome (involved in pre-mRNA splicing). Its 5' end forms complementary base pairs with the 5' splice junction, thus defining the 5' donor site of an intron.
Source: Rfam by way of RNAcentral
AUACUUACCUGGCAGGGGAGGUACCAUGAUCACGAAGGCGGUUUUCCCAGGGCGAGGCUUAUCCAUUGCACUCCGGAUGUGCUGACCCCUGCGAUUUCCCCAAAUGUGGGAAACUCGACUGCAUAAUUUGUGGUAGUGGGGAACUGCGUUCGCGCUCUCCCCUG